UUUAUUUUUUUCCUUUUCCUAUUGUACAUAAAGAGUGAGAUGCUAAAUUAAGAAUUUGAACAGCUAUCGGCUUAUUAUAGGAAAACAAAUCACAAGUUUAAAAAUCCUAAUACUCUAAUGUACACAUAGGCAAAUGCUAUAUGCAUCUUGAUUAGGAAAAUGUCUCCAUCCGUAGCCUCUCAUUCUAGUUUUAUUCCAUAAAUAUCU
Molecule: non-coding RNA, 207 nt
Organism: Pelobates cultripes (western spadefoot toad)
Lineage: Eukaryota; Metazoa; Chordata; Amphibia; Anura; Pelobatidae
Source: the annotation of a GenBank genome assembly